UUUAGUAAAUACACUGCACAUUGUAAUUCAAGUCCAAGUGACGGCAAUUUUCUAUAGAAUGCUGAAAACUUUCAUCAAAUCUAAAUGCUGAAGACAGUAGUGAGGAUGAUAAAUAAAACCAGACAGUUUGCAUAUCUGACAGGCGUAGACCUAGAACAUAGCAAAAGUCAAACUAGAGAGGCAAAGGGAGGGACUGGGUUCUGGAGAAGAAAGAAUAGAUGAGGAGCAUUUUUUUUCAGUUCUUUACAUUUUUUCUUUCAGUUCGAGAUUUCUUUUUGAUAGAUCAUGUAGUAUGUAUUUGCCCGUCUGGAGUUGAUUACUGGUUGAGUACUUUAGUUUCUUGUACAGUAGAAAUUGUAUCAUUAAUCUUUCAAGAAGGGGGAUUCAUUGGCA
Capsicum annuum is the source of this 393-nucleotide long non-coding RNA. RefSeq lists it as uncharacterized. Lineage: Eukaryota; Viridiplantae; Streptophyta; Magnoliopsida; Solanales; Solanaceae. The transcript is spliced from 2 exons. The record is from RefSeq and is a predicted model, not a curated record.